RNAcentral lists this long non-coding RNA (5917 nucleotides) under Arabidopsis thaliana (thale cress). RNAcentral describes it as "long non-coding RNA (ATHA_LNC000379)". Lineage: Eukaryota; Viridiplantae; Streptophyta; Magnoliopsida; Brassicales; Brassicaceae. The record is from RNAcentral.
UCUAGCAUUUUGCCUCCUACAUUCUCAAAGUAUAUGUCAAUGCCAUUAGGGAAACACCUGGAAAAAAGGAGAAUAUCUCUUAGAUUAGUCAAAACGCAAUUGACAAGAUCAAUCGAAAAGUAUUGCCACUUUAUUAUGCAAACCGAUUCUAACAUUUAUAGGCAUAAAACGCUUAGAAAUAAGUAGUUCACCGAACCUUUUUAGGGCAGCAGUAAGGUCAGAUUCUUCCUUGUAGUUAAAUGCAUCAUCAAACCCAAACUUGGUCUUCAGAAGAUCAACCUAACGGAUCCCCCAAAAGUAAAACGGCUAAUUAAUCAUUCUUUUGAAGGAGAACAAAGAAACAUAAGGAAACAAAAUAUGGAAAUGAUUAUCAAUUCCUCACCUUCUCUUUACUUCCAGCGCUUCCAACAACAUAACAGCCCAUCAUCUUAGCAAGUUGUCCCACAAGCUGACCAACAGCACCAGAUGCAGCUGACACAUAAACUGUCUCUCCUUCCUUUGGAGAACAAACUUCAUAAAACCCAGCAUAGGCAGUCAUACCAGGCAUACCUAUUAGGACAAGACAAAAACCCAUCAAAGAGUGAAUAUAUGAAAUAGAUCAACAAACAAAACAGUUGAAACCCUAGACUGAAGUUAUAACCAAUUCCAUUCAUAUGUUUCUAAGAUUUUUUAGAAAUCCAUAAUAAAGGUUAUGACCUCACUGUCUCAAGUCAAAACAUUGUAUCAUCAAGAAGCAGAUUUCCAAAAUUUUACAAAGUGAUUCCACCUUACAAAACUAUGAAAAAGGUUGAGAUUAACAUACCUAAAAGUCCAGUGUAAUAAGAUAAUGGAACAUCAGUAUGUUGGAUCUUGAAAUGCGCGUGAGUCAUUGGAGUGAUAACACUGUACUCCUCCCAUGCAACUAUACCCCAGAGUAAAUCUCCUUUCUUGUAAUCUGGAUGUCCAGAUUCUAUUAUUCUAGACACUCCAUACCCUUGGAUUGGCUACACCAAAACACACAACGGCAACAACAACAGUCAACACGAUAGACAUAGCAAAAAAACAGAACCAAGAGAGACACAAUUUCUUCUCAGUGUCUUCAAGAACACCAAAUUGUCAUCAAUAAGAAGCAUCUAGUUUCUUCACAUGCAAACCAAACAAAAUAAACAUUAUCAUCAUUACCUGGCCGGGAGUGUAAGCUUGAGCAAGAGCAGCAGUGGAAGGAUCAGGUUUCCCCAUGCGAAUUCUCAUGUAAGGAUCGCAUGACAAGUAGAGAUUCUUCACUAGAACAGAGUUAGUACCUUCCGGAACCCUAAGUUCGACGGUGGUGGUAGUGAAAUCGAAAUCGGAUUCCGUAGGGAAACCACUCACGUAGUCUUUCAAUAUGACUUGCUUGUUCGUCGCCGUCAUCGUUGAUUCUCGUGACUUCACCAAAUUUGUUACUGCUUCUUCUUCGGUUUCUCUCGAUGACGCCGCUGCUUUUAUAGAGUCAUCUCCAGUGUGCCACGAAUUCAUGAUAUCAACUUAUCAAGUAUGACGUCACUGCUUAUGUGUUCUGAUUUUUCACAUUUUGGAUUCUUUCUCUUUCGAGCGUUUUUUUCUCUCUUUGACUUUCACAUUCCUUUUGCAUACCUUUUUUUUUCCUCUUACGUAUCUCUCCUUUCACAUUUUGCUUUUCGUCUUUUUACACUAGAGAACUAAUUCUAAACUCGUAUUAAAUUUCUCACUAAUGAUAGUAAUUGGAAAAACUAGAGGUUUUUGACACCCUCAAUACAUUGUUAAGGUAAAUGCAACUUUUUGCGGAGUCUUUUUGGAAAUAAGAUAGAAAACAGAGUUCGAAGGCUAAAACAGAGCAAUCUGGUGCUUAAGUUCUUCUUGUAUGGAACCAGACGCGGAGUACGUCUUCGAGUUUCGUCGAGCUAUUUGGUAUUAAACGUAACAUUGUGGUUAAUCCAGCUUCAAUAGCUCUACUUUGAGUUACCAAAAUUUAAACACGUUGUGGUCAAUAUCCUCGUUUGUUGGUCACCUAAUUGACAAAUUUGGGUAGGUUUACUAAUUUCCAAAUGGCUAAAAUGUGAUUGGUCCAGUCCACUUUGCCAAUUGAUGAAAGAAAAAUUGAAAUAGGUGGUAACGGUGAAAAUAACUUUAUAACAUAUCACACCAAACCCACAAAACAGUAUCCCCAUCUUCCGAAUUAGUGUUCGCAACACUAACUGUUAAAACAGAGCACAAAACAGAGCCAUGUCCUAUAAUAAAGAAGAAAAGGAGUUGCACAAAUUGUAUUCAUUGAUGCUUAAACACGCAUACUUGGGAACAAGAGCUAGAAACAUGGGUUUGUAUUAGGCUUCUUUUUUGGAUUUGUGAGAGAGGUUUUGGCUUGUUUGUUACUACUUACAUACAUUUUGUGAACCAAGUCACAUAAAAUGAUAAAACCAAUAACAAACAAAUUAAUCUUACUGUAUAUACUAUAAUUACUAUUAUUCAUAAACCAAAAACUCACGGUUGGGUUCAACAGCCAUACAAACUCUUGUUGGAUAAAUAUAACAUUUCUCCCAAAUAAGUAUUAUUCCCUCACGAGCAAUAAAACCUUACUCCCAAUUAAAGUAUUCAUCAUUCACGAGCAAUAACAACAACUUGUUUCCCAACAUUCUUACCAUGGAAGAGUCCCACGAGAGCUUCAGGACCUUUCUCGAGCCCAUCAGCUACAUCUUCCACGUACGUUAUCUUCCCUUCUUUAAUGUGCGGAUGCAGAAACUCCAAGAACUUUGAGUAUUCGUCGUAGAAAUCAGACACUACAAAGCCUUGAAUGCGGAUUCGUUUGUAGAUUAUGUUGGAUAGGUUGUGUACACCUUCUUGGUUCUCAAGAUUGUACUGUGAGAUCAUUCCACAGACAGCGAUACGCCCGUGCAUGUUCAUGUUCAUAAGCACUGCAUCUAGCAUUUUGCCUCCUACAUUCUCAAAGUAUAUGUCAAUGCCAUUAGGGAAACACCUGGAAAAAAACGGAGAAUAUCUCUUAGAUUGGUCAAAACGCAAUUGAGAAGAUCAAUCAAAAAGUAUUGCCGCUUUAUUAUGCAAACGGAUUCUAACAUUUAUAGGCAUAAAACACUUAGAAAUAAGUAGUUUACUGAACCUUUUGAGCGCAGCACUAAGGUCAGGUUCUUCCUUGUAGUUAAAUGCAUAAUCAAACCCAAACUUGGUCUUCAGGAGAUCAACCUAACAGAUACCCCAAAAAUGGUUAAUCAUACUCUUGAAGGAGAACCAAGAAAUAUAAGGAAUCAAAAUAUAGAAAAUAAUGAUCAAAUUCUCACCUUUUCUUUGCUACCAGCACUUCCAACAACAUAACAGCCCAUCAUCUUAGCAAAUUGUCCCACAAGCUGACCAACAGCACCAGAUGCAGCUGACACAUAAACUGUCUCUCCUUUCUUUGGAGAACAGAUCUCAUAAAACCCAACAUAUGCGGUCAUACCAGGCAUACCUUUCAGUAACAGAGAACACCCAUCAAAGAGUGAAUAUAUGAAACAGAUCAACAAACCAAACAGUUGAAACUCUAGUCUUCUAGACUAAAGUUACAACCAAUUCCAUUGAUAUGUUUCUAAGAUUUGUUAGACAUCAAAACAUUGUAUCAUCAAGAAGCAGAUUUCCAAAAUUUUACAGAGUGAUUCCACCUUACAAAACUAUGAAAAAGGCUGAGAUUAACAUACCGAGAAGUCCAGUGUAGUAAGACAAUGGAACAUCAGUAUGUUGGAUCUUGAAAUGCUCGUGAGUCAAGUGAUAACACUGUACUCCUCCCAUGCAACUAUACCCCAGAGUAGGUCUCCUUUUUUGUAAUCUGAAUGCCCAGAUUCUAUCACUGUAGACACUCCGUACCCUUCUAUUGGCUGCACCAAAAACACAAUGGAAACAAGAAGACUCAACGCGAUAGAGAUAGCGAAAAGAAAAACCCGAAGAGACACAAUUUCUUCUCAGAGUCUUCAAGAACACCAAAUUGUCAUGUAGUUUCUACAUCAAUAAGAAGCAUCUAGUUUCUUCACAUGCAAACCAAACAAAAUAAACAUUAUCAUCAUUACUUGGCCGGGAGUGUAAGCUUGAGCAAGAGCAGCAGUGGAAGGAUUAGGUUUCCCCAUGCAAAUUCUCAUGUAAGGAUCGCAUGACAAGUAUAGGUUCUUCACCAGAACAGAGUUAGUACCUUCCGGAACCCUAAGUUCGACGGUGGUGGUAGUGAAAUCGAAAUUGGAUUCCGUAGGGAAACCACUCACGUAGUCUUUCAAUAUAACUUGCUUGUUCGUCGCCGUCGUCAUCGUUGAUUCUUCUGACUUCACCAAAUUUUGUUAUUGCUUCUUCUUUGGUUUAUCGAUGACGCGGCCGCUUUUAUAGUGGCUUCUCCAGUGUGCCACGAAUUCAUGAUAUCAACUUAUCAAGUAUGACGUCAUUGCUUAUGUGUUCUGAUUUUUCACAUUUGGAUUCUCUCUUUCGAACGUUUUUUUUUUUUGACUUUCACAUUUAUUUCUCUGAAUGUUAAUCCAGCUUCAAUAGCUCUCUACUGGUUAUCAGGAGUCCUUCCCAAGAAAGUUUGCCUCAAGGUCUUCGCUAUUAAAGAGGACUAGAGUCUAGACGAGACUUGCUUUGAUGAUCCUCGACCGGACGAGACUACUGACCUGAAAGUCAUAAUCGUUAUGGUCAAUAUCCUCGUUUGCUGGUCACCUCAUUAACAAAUUUGGGUACAGAGAGACAGAACACAUAUGACAUAUCACACCAAACCCACAAAACAGUAUCCAGCUCGCAAUAGUUUCCGCAAAACAGAGCCAUGUAAUUGUAAUUGUAAUUUUCUUGUCCUCGAAUAAAGAAAAAAAGGAAUUGCACAAAAUAGCAACAGUAACUGUAUCCAUUGAUGUUUAAACAAAGCAUACAUGGGAACGUGAGCUAUAGAAAACAUGGGUUUGUAUUUAGGCUCUGGGUUUGUAUUUACUAUUUAGCCUCUUUUUUCUUUUUUCAUUUGUGAGAGAGGUUUGUCGUUAUUUGUUAUUAUUACUUUCAUACAUUUUAUGAACAAGCCACAUAAAACGAAUAACAAACAGAUUCACAUUACUAUAUAUUAUAGUUACUAGUAUUAUUCAUAAACCAAAAACUCACGGUUGGGUUCAACAGACAUACCAACUCUUGUUGGAUAAAUAUAACAUUUCUCCCAAAUAAGUAUUCUUCACUCACGCGCAAUAAGACAUUACUCCCAAAUAAGUAUUCUUCACUCACGAGCAAUAACAACAACUUGUUUCCCAACGUUCUUACCAUGGAAAAGCCCCACAAGAGCUUCAGGAGCUUUCUCGAGCCCAUCAGCUACAUCUUCCACAUACGUUAUCUUCCCUUCUUUAAUGCGCGGAAGCACCAACUCCAAGAACUUUGGGUAUUUGUCGUAGAAAUCAGCCACUACAAAGCCUUGAAUGCGUAUUCGUUUGUAGAUGAUAUUGGAUAGGUUGUGUACACCUUCUUGAUUUUCAAGAUUGUACUGUGAGAUCAUUCCACAGACAGCGAUACGCCCGUGUGGGUUCAUGUUUAAGAGCACUGCAUCUAGCAUUUUGCCUCCUACGUUCUCAAAGUACAUGUCGAUGCCCUUGGGAAAACACCUGGGAAAAAGAAGAGAAUCUCUCUUAGAUUAGUAAGAGCACAAUUGAUUAGAUAUCAAUCAAUGAAGAUAAACUCGUUUUUUCUUCGAAAAGAGUUCUAAUUGCGGAGUUUCAUUGGGGUUUUCUCCAGUUCUUAAGUGGUUUCCACUUAGAUUCAUGCUUCCAUUUAGUUGUGAAUUGCCGCUUUAUUCUGCAAAUCGAUCCUAACAGUUGUAGACACCAAACACUUUGAAAAAACCCGUAACCGAACCUUUUGAGGGCAGCACUAAGGUCAGAUUCUUCCUUGUAGUUAAAUGCAUCAUCAAACCCAAACUUGGUCU